Oreochromis aureus is the source of this 387-nucleotide long non-coding RNA. RefSeq lists it as uncharacterized. The record is from RefSeq and is a predicted model, not a curated record. The transcript is spliced from 5 exons. NCBI's taxonomy places the organism in Eukaryota, Metazoa, Chordata, Actinopteri, Cichliformes, Cichlidae.
AAAAAUGUUGAAUAUUAAAAAAAUCUUUUCGGGUAAUCGCUUACCACCUUCCCUGUUAGAGGUAGAAGAGAGGAGCAUACCAUGGGGUGAAAGACAGCGAGAACUGCAGCUUGUCAGAGAUUACAAGCCUCACAAAGAUGUCCAGCAUCUCAGAAUUAUGCUUCAUGGACCACCAGGUGCUGGAAAGUCCAGCUUCAUCAACUCUGUCGACAGUGCUUUAAGAGGCAAAAUCGCAACUCGAGCUUUGGCAGCGGCAGCCUUUGGUUUCAGUUUCACUAAUGCAUACAGGACAUAUAAAAUUCAGAAAGGAAAUCCAGAAACUUUUUACCCUUUUGUCUUCACUGACACCAUGGGGCUUGAGAGGGGCGAUGAGGGAGCAAUUCAUGU